AGAGUUUGAUCCUGGCUCAGGACGAACGCUGGCGGCGUGCUUAACACAUGCAAGUCGAACGCUGAUGCCCAGCUUGCUGGGUGGAUGAGUGGCGAACGGGUGAGUAACACGUGGGUGAUCUGCCCUGCACUUCGGGAUAAGCUUGGGAAACUGGGUCUAAUACCGGAUAUGACCUUCUCCUUGGUUGGGGUUGGUGGAAAGCUUUUGCGGUGUGGGAUGAGCCUGCGGCCUAUCAGCUUGUUGGUGGGGUAAUGGCCUACCAAGGCGUCGACGGGUAGCCGGCCUGAGAGGGUGUACGGCCACAUUGGGACUGAGAUACGGCCCAGACUCCUACGGGAGGCAGCAGUGGGGAAUAUUGCACAAUGGGCGCAAGCCUGAUCCAGCCAUGCCGCGUGUGUG
RNAcentral lists this ribosomal RNA (399 nucleotides) under uncultured bacterium. RNAcentral's name for it is "bacterial SSU rRNA". It matches the Rfam family "Bacterial small subunit ribosomal RNA", at positions 8 to 407 of the family's 1533-position model. The record is from RNAcentral.